CAGCAGCCGGGAAUACGGAGGGGGCUAGCGUUGUUCGGAAUUACUGGGCGUAAAGCGCACGUAGGCGGCUUUACAAGUCAGAGGUGAAAGCCUGGUGCUCAACACCAGAAUUGCCUUUGAGACUGUAUCGCUUGAACGUCGGAGAGGUGAGUGGAAUUCCGAGUGUAGAGGUGAAAUUCGUAGAUAUUCGGAAGAACACCAGUGGCGAAGGCGGCUCACUGGACGACUGUUGACGCUGAGGUGCGAAAGCGUGGGGAGCAAACAGGAUUAGAUACCCGAGUAGUCCCUGUCUCUUAUACAC
Molecule: ribosomal RNA, 301 nt
Filed under: uncultured bacterium
Lineage: Bacteria
Description: partial 16S ribosomal RNA
Rfam family: Bacterial small subunit ribosomal RNA
Source: RNAcentral